Molecule: unclassified non-coding RNA, 529 nt
Filed under: Hevea brasiliensis (rubber tree)
Lineage: Eukaryota; Viridiplantae; Streptophyta; Magnoliopsida; Malpighiales; Euphorbiaceae
Source: RNAcentral
GGAAACACUUUUUCAGCUGCCCGGCGAGGGACAGAGAAUCCUCCAUGAGUACUUGUAUCACUGGCUGUCAAAGUUUUACAAAAAUAAUUUGCUGGCUGUUUGCUGGAAGUGCCCAAUUCAGUGGGAAGAUAGGCAUCCUUCUGUUCUUGAGGACUCAAUGGCUGUAAGGUCAUCUGUGCAUACACUUCAUCCGUCUCAACAUCUGCAUGCAUGGUCACGUUGUGAAGUUGACAGAUAAGUUGUGGAGGUAAGCUUGGGUAGUUAGGAAUAUGGGCAUCCACUUCCUUGUUAGUUGACGCAGCAACCUGCUCGCUGUGACCCUGGGGGAAAUAAACAACACGACUUCCAACAGCAGGCAGAGAAACAAGAGGACCCGCACACGCGUGCCAAAGUUCAGAAUUCAAAACCCUUUUCUCUCCUUCCUGUGCCUGUGGAUUAAAACCAGCUGAAGAGAGCCUCAUUAUCACAGAGAUUUAAUACCGCCUUCAAAAACAAGUUGAGACCCGCAACAAAAAGAUCCAAAAGAACC